This 405-nucleotide long non-coding RNA is filed under the name Setaria viridis. RNAcentral describes it as "long non-coding RNA (SVIR_LNC011444)". Lineage: Eukaryota; Viridiplantae; Streptophyta; Magnoliopsida; Poales; Poaceae. The record is from RNAcentral.
CAAUUUUAAACAAAAUUAAACCCGAAAAGAAAAAAUGCUUUUGCAAGAAAGCCCUCCGAAAUAACUUUUUCCAGUAGAUCCGUCCUUCCUUUUAUGAACCAGCCCUGACUCUUACACUUAAGUCCCUCAAAGAUUUCCCACCUCACACUUAAACCUAGACAUUUAACGGAAAACCCCCUGGAGUUCUAUUUCCUUCACACCCAACACCCCGCCUCCUUCUUCUACCUCGGUCACGCACGCCCGCGCGGCGGCGGCGGCGCCCCACCCCGGUGACUACCCCGAGAGCCUCCCGACACUGAGGCGCACCCACUCCCCUAGUUUUUACCUUAGAACCUAAACCUUAGCUAUUCCGGCAGUGAGCGGCGGCGCACGCCCGGUGGCAUGCACGAGAACGCGCGUGGAAAC